GGGGGCGUAACGGUUUCGACGGGGACAUUUGAAGUUGUAGAAGCGUGCCGAGGUUCCUACAGGCCUCGUUAAACAGGUAGGAAACAUAUAAUCGCAGACAACUACGAUUACGCUUUAGCCGCUUAGACGGCUAACGUCGAACCCGGUUUUCCUGCCGGUCGGGCAAGACGUCAUUCAGACAGGAUAGCCAAACUUCUUUCCUGGGGGAGGGCGGCGAAUCCUUACAGGAUAGCAAAGCUUUGAUCCCGCCUUUGGGAGCAAGCCGCGCGAAGGUUCUAAAACGAAGGCUACGCACGUAGAAGCUCCAGCGGAAGGUUUUCGGACGCGGGUUCAAUUCCCGCCGCCUCCACCA
Molecule: transfer-messenger RNA, 352 nt
Filed under: Syntrophaceae bacterium
Lineage: Bacteria; Pseudomonadati; Thermodesulfobacteriota; Syntrophia; Syntrophales; Syntrophaceae
Also listed under: 3 other names
Rfam family: transfer-messenger RNA
About the family: Bacterial tmRNA, also known as 10Sa RNA or SsrA, is named for its dual tRNA and mRNA-like properties. Its role is to liberate the mRNA from a stalled ribosome.
Source: RNAcentral